UGGCCUCUGCCAUGUUCGAGCAGGACUCAUGUUUUGUCGAGCCGAUAACGAACUCGCCUGGGGACCUAAGAUUGCCUGGUGCUCGCAUGCCCGCCUGACGGGAUCCGAAAGCCGGGCACGCGGUCGCCCACUUUAGUUAGCGGGUUCGCAAACACGGUCCGAGACGGCAUUGCGGUGGAGGC
This 182-nucleotide non-coding RNA is filed under the name Kolteria novifilia. RNAcentral describes it as "Planctomycetes bacterium Pan216 6S". It matches the Rfam family "6S / SsrS RNA". Rfam says of the family: E. coli 6S RNA was the first non coding RNA to be sequenced, but its function was unknown until recently. The record is from RNAcentral. Lineage: Bacteria; Pseudomonadati; Planctomycetota; Planctomycetia; Kolteriales; Kolteriaceae.